CCCCNAGGUGGGGGAUAGCUUUGCGAAAGUGACGGUAAUACCUGAUGAUGCCUUCGGGGGGAUGCCUCCGGAGGCCAAAGGCGGGGACCUUCGGGCCUGUCGGUUGGAGAUCAGCCCAUGUCCUAUCAGCUAGUUGGUAGGGUAACGGCCUACCAAGGCAACGACGGGUAGCCGGUCUGAGAGGAUGAUCGGCCACAUCGGAACUGAGACACUGUCCGGACACCUACGGGUGGCUGCAGUAACGAAUCUUCCGCAAUGGGCGAAAGCCUGACGGAGCGACGCCGCGUGCGGGAAGAAGUCCUUCGGGAUGUAAACCGCUUUUAGGGAGAUGAAAACAAUGCGACCUAAUACGUCGUUGCGUUGAUCUAUCUCAGAAAAAGCCUCGGCUAACUCUGUGCCAGCAGCCGCGGUAAGACAGAGGAGGCUAGCGUUGUUCGGAAUCACUGGGCUUAAAGCGGGUGUAGGCGGCUCGGCAAGUACCUUGUGAAAUGCCUCGGCUCACCCGAGGAACAGCUGGGUAUACUGCCGGGCUUGAGGCAGGUAGGGGCCACUGGAACUCUAGGUGGAGCGGUGAAAUGCGUAGAUAUCUAGAGGAACGCCUGAGGCGAAAGCGGGUGGCUGGGCCUGUACUGACGCUGAGACCCGAAAGCGUGGGGAGCAAACGGGAUUAGAUACCCCGGUAGUCCU
RNAcentral lists this ribosomal RNA (687 nucleotides) under uncultured Planctomycetales bacterium. RNAcentral describes it as "bacterial SSU rRNA". It matches the Rfam family "Bacterial small subunit ribosomal RNA", at positions 129 to 797 of the family's 1533-position model. The record is from RNAcentral. Lineage: Bacteria; Pseudomonadati; Planctomycetota; Planctomycetia; Planctomycetales.